AAAGCAACCAAGUGCAAAUAGUGUCAUCUCCAUUUUACUGAUGAAGAAAUCAAAGGUCAGAUAGUGUGAUUUGACCUCAGUCAUGGAGCUAGUAAAUGGGUCAUGUUUUCUAACUUUCGUUUCCAGUGUAACCUGUGUUUUACUACAUCCCUUUGUUUCUUUAUUACCUCCAUCUGUUCAUACAUCCUUUAAUAUUUCCAUGAACUCACUUGAAUUAGCAGUCUUCUCCUCACCCCUCUUAGGAGGUAAAGAGGAGAAAAACCAAGCUUCGAAGCUAUAGACAACUGGAUAUUGAUCUCUGUUCAUCUACUUCCCAGGUGCCUGUCUUUGGACAAAUACAAUUUAUCUAAGCCUUAGAUUUGUCCUCUUUGAGAGGGGAGAUGAUAUAAUCAGUGUAAAGAUCAAUGCACAAAAAAGAGAGUUUCAUGAGAGCAGCAGUUUUUGUGUUUAGUUCAGGGCUGCAUCGUGAGCAUCACAAACAGGGCUUGCUACCUGCACGCAUUCAGCCAGUAUCUGUGGAAUGAAGGCAUGCAGGGAAGUCCCUAGCUGAGGGCCUGACUUAAUAAAAGGAGCGCAACGGAAGUGGCCAUUAUCUCUCACCUACUGGCCCAGCCUCUUUUCCUGUCCCUCUCCUGCUUUACCCAGCCCUUCAGAUGGCACAUCCCGUUUUGCUGUAGGGGAUUGUUGGGGAUUUGCUUUCCUAAGUUUAGAGCGUUCGGGUUUAGGCCUAUCUUCAGGAGGGGAGCCUGGCGGUCUCUGAGCAGCCAGGAGAGGGCAGCAGCCUCGGCGCGGUGGCUCAAGCUGGGGAAGGGCACCCUCGCGGAGGAGAUAGCGGAGGACCCGGAAGUACUCGGCCACAGUCGCAGCCCCGGCACACCGGAGGGGGAAAAAGUCUGAGGGCCGCCGCCCCGCAGCUGCGCAUCCCCAGGAAUUCUCGGGCAGGAAUUGGAAUGCCUUACUAUUCGAUGACGCUCUUGAAUUAUUUAACACUUGCAUCAUUUUUUUAAAGUUUGAGAGAGACCUCCAGAAACUUACAUGCUGUAGAAACCUGCUCCCACGGAUGGUGGACCCUUCUCGUCACUCCCACUCCAGGCACCAGGAGAGGGAGAAGCCAACUGCCACCAUUUAGGGGAAGGAAGGGGCUGGAAAGAGGUGCUGAGAACUGUCUACUAGGAGAGGCAAGUGUCCAUCUCUGAGAAGGAGGAAAUCAGGAGGAAGAAGGAAAAAUAAGAAAGGAAAAGGCAACACUUUGAAUCUUUACAUAAAACUGUAUAAUUCAUUUCUGCUGUGGGAAGAUGGAAUACUUUUUGUCCCUUUCUGAGAGACAGCAGAACCUUUCAAGCAUGGGUAUGUGAUUUGGGGUAACUAUGUAACUAGAAAUACUGAUAGAAAAAUAAUCUUUCCUAUUCCUUUUAUUUUUUCAACAACAGCAACUAAAAAGAGCACGAGGAAUUUGAAGACAGAGAUGAGCUGUGUAGCACCAACAUUUUCUUUCUGCCUGACCUUAAUACCUGAUGAAUUAAAAGGUCAGUUUUAAGUGCAUCACAUGAUAGGCUUCCAUCACUUUUAUUAGCCCAGGUGGUAAAUAUGAAGAAAAAGAAUUAUCGCGGAUUUUUAAAAAAUCCAGCAGGAGGAGCUCUAACAUGCUUUAGAGCUCAAAUUUUAAAAACAAAACUUUUUAAAGCUAACAGAGAAAAACAGAGAGGCAUUGUGCCUUGCAGGCUGCCAUGUCAGUGAACAAAUAUGUGACUAAGUCCAAUUAAAUGGUUCGUGAGAAGCCAAAGAAGCCAAGCGAUGAUACUCAUGGAGACAGAACGGCCCACAUUUCCUCCCUUCCACGAGCCUCCUCUUUCUGAUGCAGUUAAGCUGGGACUAGUCUGCAGUAUUAGCUCUUACAAAAGAGGGAGCAAAAGGAUGAUUUCUGGGCAAGUCUAGAUGUAAUUCUUUCCCUCUGAAAGUGUCAUAUUGUUUCUAAACAAGUCUUUGACACUAGCUCAGGAAUUUGAAAUACAUUUAAAAACAGAAUUUUCAUUGUUGGUUGAAGGCACUAUGAAACUCCUAAAGGUUCAGUUGCUUCUAUUCAGUGGUUUGUCAGAUGCUUUUUUUUAAAUGAGAGAAAUGCUGUGUUUGUAAAAAUUGGUGCUAAAAGGGUAACGAAUCAUACGUCCCCUGGGCCAUGUAAAGAGUCUGCAGAAAGAAUUAGAGCUUUCUAACACACACGCUAACACACACACACACACACACACACACACACACACAAACUGGAACUCAAAGAAUUUACUCAGGAACAGUGAGGAGUGUAUGAAUUUAACAGUUAUGGGAUUUUUAGGGUAAGCUUUUCCAUUUUGGACAGUGUUGUGGGGGUGGAAUGGAUGAGUGGGCAUAUACGAUGAUCAGAAUUACUUAACCUGAAGGAAAUUUUCAACCAAUUCAUUUUAAUCUCUUGCCAACAAAAAGUCAAACUUUUGUUUUACACCUUAAUGGUAUGCUCACAUUUUAAAUUUUUAUGCAGGCUCCUACAGAAACUUUAACUAGACCAAUUCAGACCAAAAGUCACUAAAUAAAGCUAGUCUAGACGGAAAAUCUAUGAAAACCAUAUGUCUUUUAGGCAUCUGUCUUACAAAAACUACCAUCAUCCCAGAGAAAUUGUUCACAAAAUAUGCUUUUAGGAAAACACUGCUGUACUGACCAUGGAGGGCUGUACUUAAGAAGAUGGCUGGACUUGGAAAGAAUAAAGCCAAAAUGUUUAUAAAUGAAAGGCUCUCAUUUUCACAUACAUCUAACUGCCUGUAAACAUUACUGAAAGGCUGGGCCAAGCAGAUAUCAUUUAUCUUACCAUUAUUCUAGAAGGGAUCGAAAAAAUUUACAGUUUUGUUCCUCCUCACUACUACAGAACAUUAGACCAGGGGAUCUCAAAGCAAUUCUGUUUUCACCCACAGAGAACUGUUUUGAAUAAUGUUGUACGUGGAUGAGGCCAAUAAACCAGAACAUUUUCUUCUGAUUAUUACCUCAUCCUGCUGGCCUGCCAAACACAGCUAACAGGCAGGUGUCCGAUAUAAGUUACUAGAGGAAGAUUGUUCUGUGUAAUUGGUGUAGGGAUCAUCUGAGAGACAAGGGAAAUCAGAAGGACUAGGGUACAGAGGAAGGGUGCAAUGAGAAUGCAGUAAAGAGGAAUAUUUUAAAAGUUUGCUUUUCCAAUUCAGCAUUGCUUUCUGAACUAAAGACAAUGGUCAGUGCUACCUUCAGUAUUCUAGGUACAUAAUGUUUCACCUUACGAUGCAUUUUAAUUUUAAUAAGUGGUAAGACAUCCACACAAAAAGAAUAUAAAUGCAAACUUUAGUGACAAAAAUAACAUUCGAACUGAAAACUAAAUAGCGAUGGAAUCUAUGAAAGUAUUUAUGAAUUGCAAAGAUUACUUGUAAUCCUCUAGAAUAUUUUACUGAAACUUAUUUCUCUGCAGAAAAGGAGAUGUUGAAACAACAAUUCAGUAGCAAUAAUUAUGGGCAUGAAUAACUCCAUGCAUUUUUUAGUCGCCUAGAAGACUGUGAAUGAACAAUAUACAUCAAAUAGCCACAUAGGGCAAAAAAGUCCUAAGUUGGAAGAGAAAGA
Callithrix jacchus (white-tufted-ear marmoset) is the source of this 3609-nucleotide non-coding RNA. The record is from RefSeq and is a predicted model, not a curated record. Lineage: Eukaryota; Metazoa; Chordata; Mammalia; Primates; Cebidae.